This 3545-nucleotide long non-coding RNA is filed under the name Homo sapiens (human). Its description in RNAcentral is "non-protein coding lnc-RAB17-6:5". The record is from RNAcentral. Lineage: Eukaryota; Metazoa; Chordata; Mammalia; Primates; Hominidae.
GGGCUGUCCAUCACCACCCCUCCGGCCCCCGCCGGAAAGAGGACCUGGAGGAAAAGACCCCUCAGGCUCCGGCCGCAGCUCCACCCGCAGGGGCCGUGGGAAGCGGGCGCUCCGGGGAGGAUGCCGCGCCCAGUAGGGGUCGACCCGAAGAGGGGGUCCCCUCCGGGGGGGGACCUGCCCGGGGCUGGGCGAGGGUAUGAGUUCCCGGCUCCCCCACAUCCAUCACCCUCAGGCCACGCUGAGCUUCCUGGACGCGGAAGCCUAGGCCCCAGCACCGCUGCACCUGCCGGCCGGGCACCCCACUAACGCGGCAUCCCGAGAAGGGCCGACUUCCAGGACGACGCAGCUGCGUGCACACAGCCCCCCUUGGCCCGGUGCGGCGGCCCGCAGGGGAGAACGAGCUUGCAGGGUGCGGGUGCGGGCCGCUGGGGCCGAUCUGGCGUCGCAGAACCCGGGGUCCACACCGUCCAGGCUGCGGCCGCGACGACCCCCUGCCAGGCGCCGGUCUCCUCCGGGAGGGCUCCAGCCCGCGCCACCUCCAGGCACAGGGCGCCCUCGUAACUCCCAAUGAAAGUCCUGCGGGAAACGGUUCCCGACCUCGCCAGGCUGGGGGCAGAAGCGACGGGAUGACGCGGAUUGUAAUCGGAAGAUGGAGUCUCGCUCUGUCGCCCAGGCUGGAGUGCAAUGGCGCGAUCUCGGCUCACCGCGACCUCUGCCUCCCGGGUUCCAGCGAUUCUCCUGCCUCAGCCUCCCGAGUAGGUGGGAUUACAGGCACCUGCCACCAUGCCCGGCUCAUUUUUGUAUUUUUAGUAGAGUCGGGGUUUCACCAUGUUAGCCAGCCUGGUUUCGAACUCCUGACCUCAAAUGAUCUGCCUGCCUUGGCCUCCGAAAGUGCUGGGAUUACAGGUGUGAGCCACCGCGCCUGGCCUAUCACAAUUCUUGAUUGUUUAAAGUGCAAUUAUUUGGAGAAAAUAAUUUUAAAUGUUCUCUGGGAAUUUAUUGUAGAAAGCAGUUAGACUUUUACCAGUGGUCACAACUUCACUGAUGAGAAUGAUAACCCAUUAAUAAAACAGCCCUCUUCUUCUGAGACUUGAUUUUGAAUAUUCUGAUCUAGAUAGGCAGAUUCUAAAGCUACUCAACACCCCGAACCCUGUGACCACAUCUCCCAGAGCAGGGUACUGGGACUGGUUUCCGUUCCCUUGGCAUGUCCCUGAGGCAAUGCUUGAAGACACCUGUAAUUGCCACAAGACACAUUUUCCUAACCCCCAGGCUGCCAGUCAAUUGCUAGUUACCAGCUUCUGAAAACCAUACAGGGAAGGGAUUAAGAAGUGGGCUCUGGAAUUAAGCCACCUCGUUCAGUUCCUGGCCCUGCCACUCACUAAGGGAUAUUGAGCAAGUUACUUAGCUUCUGUGCCUGGAGUCUUACCCAAAACAUGCCGGUGAUAAUGACAGUGCCCGCUGUGAGGGUGAGGACCAAAGGCUCUAACACGGGGAUCCCGCUGGGCACAGUCAGGGUGAGCUGCCCUGCUAGCCUGCUGCCUAGUGUCCUGGGAGUCCAGUAAAAGCAAACCAGCACCUGCCUUGCUGCCUCUGGAGUCCCCUCUUUUCCAGAUAGAGUCCCCUUGGUAGGUGCCCUGACUCAAGGUGCCCAGGCCUCCUCCUCCUCCUCCAUAGCAGGAAGGAAGCUGGGCACCAGACCAAGAACUGGGAUGGGCCAGGCAGCAAGACUGUGGGCAGCCCAGGAAAGAGAACAAACCCACUGCCUGCCACAACAGCUGUGGGAAGGGGCUGCUGCAGAGGAUGUAGGUGGCAGGGAGGGGACCAUGCCAGGACACUCACAGAGUAAGAAGCAGCGAGCUGAUGAGUCUUAGUCCCAGGAACAAAUGAACAUUACCAGCAAUAAAAUAAUGGCUGGUUUCUGAUUCUGCUAAGUAGUAGCAUAUUAAAGAAAACUGCCAUCCUGACACCCUUCUAGAUGAGAGGAUGCUACAUUCUGACUUGGGUUUCAGCCCAGCCAGUCCUGUGAGGUGGAAGUCUCAGAACCAUCCCCAGCUCAAGAGCAAAGUCUAUACUGUAAGUUGAAUGCUAAUACAUCUUUCUUGGUGUUUUUAGAUCCCAGAGCCCCAGGAAUAAAAUGCAGAGGAUCCACAGUUGCCUCCCAGUUUUAUUAGGAUGGUGCAAAAGUAAUUGCAGUUUUUCCAUUAAAAUUAACAGCGAAAAAUGCAAUACUUUUACGCCAACCUAAAUAAUACAGCCAUCCAGGGGCCUCACUCAGAGCAGAAAGUCAUCACGUGGACUCAACGAAUGCCCUUAGCUGUCUUCCUGGUGGACCAGUGACCACACCUCCCACUCCAGGGGCACUGGCAAAGCAGGGCACACACCCAGGUCAAUGCCAGGAGCCGGAUCUCCCAGUAAGACUAGGGGCACUGGUAGGAGCAUCAAGCAGGGGAUCCAGACCCUGCCUGCUGUCUGCAAAGAAGGUGGUACCCCACGGCCAGCUGGUCCAGCUCAGGCACAAAGUAUUCUUGGCCCUCAGGCCAGGGUCCUGACUGCCUCCGGUGGACAGAAGAGCAAGAGCGUCUGGAAAGCAACAGUGAGCUUGUCUCCAGCAUCCACAACAGCUCCAGUGCCGGGCUUACAUAUGGCAGCAUGCAGCCUUCCCACAGCUGCCCUGUGACCUGGGUACUGAACCUCUCCCACCACCUCCCUCAGCCCCCACCCCCAGGUUAUGAAUGGGCUCUCCCGAUUAAAAGCAUGUUCUCACUGCUUGGAACAUGGUAGGUGCCUUAUAAAUGAUGGGUGGGUAGAUGGAUAGAUGGAUGAAUGGUUUUCCUAACAAAAUGGAGGACUUUGAUGAAUUGUCAUUAAUUCUCAUUGAUCUUCAGUAUUUUAUACUUCUGUAGCAAUUGGGAAUAGAAACUCUUUUAAAAAUGACAUGUCUUUAGGAUAUUUUUUCAUAACUACCUAGCACCCAGCAAUUCAUCACACUUAUUUUUCAUCUAAUAGGUCUUUUAUUGUUUUUGCUUUUUAAAUCUCUUUAGAUUUUCUAAGGAAGGUGAUGGGUUUGAUUAUUGAUUGAACUGAAUUUGAAUUGGAGGCAGAAAGCCUCAGUGGAGGAGUCUAACAGGCACCUCAGCACACACUACCGAUUAGUUAAAGGUGAUGAUAAAAUCAGGCAGCAUGCACAGAACAGAAAGGAGCCUGAAGGAAGGAACCUUGAGACACUUACAUGGGAAGGAUAAGAGGUGUGUAAGAACAAGUCAAGACAGAGAAGGGGUAGUUAGAGAGUCAGAAAAUAGAGACAUCUCCUGGAAGCCACAGAGUGAAGAGAGCAAGGUCAGGAAAGACUUUAAUUUGCAACUAGAAAAACACUGGUCAUUACAUUCUGCCAUUAAAAUUUGGCAAUUAAACAUUUUCUGUGAUUUGUGCAUGUGUAAUAAAUGGUAGACGGCAGCCUUGAAGGAAGGCGGGACCAAGGAAAAGGCUUUGCAUGGGGGAGAUUUAUUCAUGGUUUGUCGGUUUUUAAGGAUGGAAGAGAUGUGAGC